AACGAACGCUGGCGGCAUGCCUAACACAUGCAAGUCGAACGAGACCUUCGGGUCUAGUGGCGCACGGGUGCGUAACGCGUGGGAACCUGCCCUUAGGUUCGGAAUAACUCCCCGAAAGGGGUGCUAAUACCGGAUAAUGUCUUCGGACCAAAGAUUUAUCGCCUUUGGAUGGGCCCGCGUUGGAUUAGCUAGUUGGUAGGGUAAAAGCCUACCAAGGCGACGAUCCAUAGCUGGUCUGAGAGGAUGAUCAGCCACACUGGGACUGAGACACGGCCCAGACUCCUACGGGAGGCAGCAGUGGGGAAUAUUGGUCAAUGGGCGAAAGCCUGAUCCAGCAAUGCCGCGUGAGUGAUGAAGGCCUUAGGGUUGUAAAGCUCUUUUACCCGGGAUGAUAAUGACAGUACCGGGAGAAUAAGCGCCGGCUAACUCCGUG
Molecule: ribosomal RNA, 433 nt
Filed under: uncultured bacterium
Lineage: Bacteria
Description: partial 16S ribosomal RNA
Rfam family: Bacterial small subunit ribosomal RNA
Source: RNAcentral